UGCCCUAUGAGGGUUAAAUGGCCGCGGUAUUUUGACCGUGCAAAGGUAGCAUAAUAAUUAGUUUUUUAAUUGAAAGCUGGAAUGAAUGAUUGGACGAGAAAAUUACUGUCUCAGUUUAGAUUAUUUAGAAUUUUAUUUUUAAGUAAGAAAGCUUAAAUUUUAUUAAUAGACGAGAAGACCCUAUAGAGUUUUAUAUUAAUUUAUUUAUUUAUUUUGAAGAAUUUUUUUAUUUAUAUUUAAAUUAUUAUUUUAUUGGGGUGAUAGAAAAAUUAAUAAAACUUUUUUUUUUUUUUUUACAUUGAUUUAUGUUUAAUUGAUCCAUUAUUUAUGAUUAUAAGAUUAAAUUACCUUAGGGAUAACAGCGUAAUUUUUUUUUAGAGUUCUUAUCGAAAGAAAAGAUUGCGACCUCGAUGUUGGAUUAAACAUAAAUUAA
RNAcentral lists this ribosomal RNA (433 nucleotides) under Trioserica sp. 836984. RNAcentral describes it as "partial 16S large subunit ribosomal RNA". Lineage: Eukaryota; Metazoa; Arthropoda; Insecta; Coleoptera; Scarabaeidae. The record is from RNAcentral.